AGUGAACGCUGGCGGUAGGCCUAACACAUGCAAGUCGAACGGCAGCACAGUAAGAGCUUGCUCUUACGGGUGGCGAGUGGCGGACGGGUGAGGAAUACAUCGGAAUCUACUUUUUCGUGGGGGAUAACGUAGGGAAACUUACGCUAAUACCGCAUACGACCUACGGGUGAAAGCAGGGGAUCUUCGGACCUUGCGCGAUUGAAUGAGCCGAGGUCGGAUUAGCUAGUUGGCGGGGUAAAGGCCCACCAAGGCGACAAUCCGUAGCUGGUCUGAGAGGAUGAUCAGCCACACUGGAACUGAGACACGGUCCAGACUCCUACGGGAGGCAGCAGUGGGGAAUAUUGGACAAAGGGCGCAAGCCUGAUCCAGCCAUACCGCGUGGGUGAAGAAGGCCUUCGGGUUGUAAAGCCCUUUUGUUGGGAAAGAAAAGCAGCAGGUUAAUACCCCGCUGUUCUGACGGUACCCAAAGAAUAAGCACCGGCUAACUUCGUG
RNAcentral lists this ribosomal RNA (492 nucleotides) under uncultured bacterium. RNAcentral describes it as "partial 16S ribosomal RNA". It matches the Rfam family "Bacterial small subunit ribosomal RNA", at positions 29 to 507 of the family's 1533-position model. The record is from RNAcentral.